CCUACGGGUGGCAGCAGUGAGGAAUAUUGGUCAAUGGACGGAAGUCUGAACCAGCCAUGCCACGUGCAGGAAGACGGCUCUAUGAGUUGUCAACUGCUUUUGUACAAGGGUAAACCUGAAUACGUGUAUUCAGCUGAAAGUACUGUACGAAUAAGGAUCGGCUAACUCCGUGCCAGCAGCCGCGGUAAUACGGAGGAUCCAAGCGUUAUCCGGAUUUAUUGGGUUUAAAGGGUGCGUAGGCGGAUUGAUAAGUUAGAGGUGAAAUGUCCGAGCUUAACUCGGGAACUGCCUCUAAUACUGUUGAUCUAGAGAGUAGGUGCGGUAGGCGGAAUGUAUGGUGUAGCUGUGAAAUGCUUAGAGAUCAUACAGAACACCGAUUGCGAAGGCAGCUUACCAAUCUAUAUCUGACGUUGAGGCACGAAAGCGUGGGGAGCAAACAGGAUUAGAUACCCGUGUAGUC
RNAcentral lists this ribosomal RNA (460 nucleotides) under uncultured bacterium. Its description in RNAcentral is "partial 16S ribosomal RNA". It matches the Rfam family "Bacterial small subunit ribosomal RNA", at positions 338 to 795 of the family's 1533-position model. The record is from RNAcentral.